RNAcentral lists this transfer RNA (72 nucleotides) under Marmota monax (woodchuck). RNAcentral describes it as "tRNA.Ala". The record is from RNAcentral. Lineage: Eukaryota; Metazoa; Chordata; Mammalia; Rodentia; Sciuridae.
GUGUUGUAGCUCAGUGGCAGAGUGCUUGCCUAGCAUGAGUGAGGCACUGGGUUUGAUCCUCAGCACUGCAUA